RNAcentral lists this ribosomal RNA (793 nucleotides) under Streptomyces sp. RNAcentral's name for it is "bacterial SSU rRNA". It matches the Rfam family "Bacterial small subunit ribosomal RNA", at positions 67 to 874 of the family's 1533-position model. The record is from RNAcentral. Lineage: Bacteria; Bacillati; Actinomycetota; Actinomycetes; Kitasatosporales; Streptomycetaceae.
CGAUGAACCACUUCGGUGGGGAUUAGUGGCGAACGGGUGAGUAACACGUGGGCAAUCUGCCCUGCACUCUGGGACAAGCCCUGGAAACGGGGUCUAAUACCGGAUACUGAUCCUCGCAGGCAUCUGCGAGGUUCGAAAGCUCCGGCGGUGCAGGAUGAGCCCGCGGCCUAUCAGCUAGUUGGUGAGGUAACGGCUCACCAAGGCGACGACGGGUAGCCGGCCUGAGAGGGCGACCGGCCACACUGGGACUGAGACACGGCCCAGACUCCUACGGGAGGCAGCAGUGGGGAAUAUUGCACAAUGGGCGAAAGCCUGAUGCAGCGACGCCGCGUGAGGGAUGACGGCCUUCGGGUUGUAAACCUCUUUCAGCAGGGAAGAAGCGAAAGUGACGGUACCUGCAGAAGAAGCGCCGGCUAACUACGUGCCAGCAGCCGCGGUAAUACGUAGGGCGCAAGCGUUGUCCGGAAUUAUUGGGCGUAAAGAGCUCGUAGGCGGCUUGUCACGUCGGUUGUGAAAGCCCGGGGCUUAACCCCGGGUCUGCAGUCGAUACGGGCAGGCUAGAGUUCGGUAGGGGAGAUCGGAAUUCCUGGUGUAGCGGUGAAAUGCGCAGAUAUCAGGAGGAACACCGGUGGCGAAGGCGGAUCUCUGGGCCGAUACUGACGCUGAGGAGCGAAAGCGUGGGGAGCGAACAGGAUUAGAUACCCUGGUAGUCCACGCCGUAAACGGUGGGCACUAGGUGUGGGCAACAUUCCACGUUGUCCGUGCCGCAGCUAACGCAUUAAGUGCCCCGCCU